UGAACUUGGUAGAAAGCCAGAAAGCAACCAGCCCUUUGAGGAAGAGCUUUUGCUUUACCGCUGAGUAAACUCACUCACCACUCUGUCUGAGUGUCCAUGUGGCUGAAUUGUUUCCAGAAAAGAGCCUCCUGUCUCCUCACAGCUCAGACAUGAAGCCCAUCCUCAUCUCAGUGCUUGUGAUGAUAUUCACACUCAGAGAAACAAGUCCCCAGACAGUGACUCAGCCUGAGGACCACAUGUCUGUCUUCGAAGGGGCCCCGGUGCAGGUGAAGUGCAACUACUCGUAUUCUGGGAGUCCUGAUCUCUUCUGGUAUGUCCAGUACCCCAAACAAGGCCUCCAGUUACUCCUGAAACAUAUCUCAAGAGAGACCAUCAAAGGUUUCACGGCUGAUCUUAACAAGGGUGAUAGGUCCUUCCAUCUGAAGAAACCAUCAGCUCAAGAGGAAGACUCAGCCGUAUAUUACUGUGCUCUGAGUGCCACAGUGACUGGUUUUAUAAGGGAGGCAGAGCACAAACCCUUUAGGGAGUUAAAGAGAAUAUUUCUUUGUAAAUUCUCCAUAUGGCCACAGAGGGGCAUUCUUCCUCUAGAGACUGACAUUGAGUUUACCUUUUAG
Ceratotherium simum simum (southern white rhinoceros) is the source of this 614-nucleotide non-coding RNA. The record is from the annotation of a RefSeq genome assembly. NCBI's taxonomy places the organism in Eukaryota, Metazoa, Chordata, Mammalia, Perissodactyla, Rhinocerotidae.